AUAUAAGUGUAAUAGUGUGUAUAGAUAUUAGAAAAUUUCCUAAGUACCAUGUAAACAUGUUUUAUAGGCUUUAAGAAUCAAUAGAGGCCAAAUAUAUGUGGCAAUAGAAAAGACAGAAUUGUGUUUAAGAGCAGUGAAUAUGGGAGGUCAGCAAGAGAGGGAGAGAAUGCAGGAAGAGAAUGCACUGGAAUGAAGAUUUCAAGAGAGAUAGGAUUUGGCUGGGUUGAUAGAAAAGGAAAAGAUAUAUGUUGGAAUGGAAUCUGUUUUUUCAACCAUUAUUAACUGGAGCCAAUGGGCAUAAAGGACAUAAGAACAAGCUCUGGAAUCACAUUGCCUUAGUUCAAAUACCAGCUCAACAACAUGUUGACAGAAUGAUACUUUAAAAAAUUAUUUAAUUUCUCACAAUUGUCAUAAAUUUAUCUGAAAAAUUAUUCUUGGUGUUAUUAUUAAUCUAUUAUGUAAACUAGCUCACUACCUAGAUAUAGAUCUAAACAAAUAAAACAUUGUUCUUGCUUUCAGAGGGCUUACAAUUAGAACAGAAUUUGAGCCAGGGCAGGAUUGGGGCAGGGGAGAGACGAACGUGUAAAUGAACUGUAUCUGGAAAUUCAAAAUCACUGCCCCUCUUCCCGUGAAGGGAUACAAGAUUAUCAAGACAAUAUAUUUUAUGGCCCAUCCUACCACCUAUCACCUAUUCUGGGGUAUGAAAGUGAAAAAGUGCAAGUGUUAGCCAUUCAUGUCAGACUCCUUGCAAUCCCACGAACUGUAGCCUUCCAGGCCUGCCAGGCUCCUCUGUAUGCUGCUGCUGCUGCUGCUGCUAAGUCGCUUCAGUCGUGUCCGACUCUGUGCGACCCCACAGACGGCAGCCCAUCAGGCUCCACCGUCCCUGGGAUUCUCCAGGCAACAACACUGGAGUGGUUUGCCAUUUAAAUAUCAAUUAGCACAUGUUGUUUGAUAGUGUUCUUUAGAUUU
Molecule: long non-coding RNA, 969 nt
Filed under: Ovis aries (sheep)
Lineage: Eukaryota; Metazoa; Chordata; Mammalia; Artiodactyla; Bovidae
Description: lncRNA (ENSOARG00000025430.1)
Source: RNAcentral